GAUGAACGCUGGCGGCGUGCCUAAUACAUGCAAGUCGAGCGAACAGACGAGGAGCUUGCUCCUCUGACGUUAGCGGCGGACGGGUGAGUAACACGUGGAUAACCUACCUAUAAGACUGGGAUAACUUCGGGAAACCGGAGCUAAUACCGGAUAAUAUAUUGAACCGCAUGGUUCAAUAGUGAAAGACGGUUUUGCUGUCACUUAUAGAUGGAUCCGCGCCGCAUUAGCUAGUUGGUAAGGUAACGGCUUACCAAGGCAACGAUGCGUAGCCGACCUGGGAGGGUGAGCGGGCAGACUGGAGCGGAGACACGGUCCCGACGCCUACGGGAGGCAGCAGUAGGGAAUCUUCCGGAAUGGGCGAAAGCCUGACGGAGCAACGCCGCGUGAGUGAUGAAGGUCUUCGGAUCGUAAAACUCUGUUAUUCGGGAAGUACAAAUGUGUAAGUAACUAUGCACGUCUUGACGGUACCUAAUCAGAAAGCCACGGCUAACUACGUG
RNAcentral lists this ribosomal RNA (497 nucleotides) under uncultured bacterium. Its description in RNAcentral is "partial 16S ribosomal RNA". It matches the Rfam family "Bacterial small subunit ribosomal RNA", at positions 28 to 507 of the family's 1533-position model. The record is from RNAcentral.